UGACUAGUUGAGGUGACUCGCUAUCGGA
RNAcentral lists this small RNA (28 nucleotides) under Bombyx mori (domestic silkworm). RNAcentral's name for it is "ovarian small RNA-31891". The record is from RNAcentral. Lineage: Eukaryota; Metazoa; Arthropoda; Insecta; Lepidoptera; Bombycidae.